Molecule: non-coding RNA, 31 nt
Filed under: Mus musculus (house mouse)
Lineage: Eukaryota; Metazoa; Chordata; Mammalia; Rodentia; Muridae
Source: RNAcentral
UCCUAGGAAGGAACUCAACGCUGCUUAACCC